RNAcentral lists this unclassified non-coding RNA (221 nucleotides) under Allocryptovalsa cryptovalsoidea. Its description in RNAcentral is "partial internal transcribed spacer region". The stretch from base 1 to 46 matches the Rfam family "Eukaryotic small subunit ribosomal RNA", at positions 1786 to 1831 of the family's 1831-position model. The record is from RNAcentral. Lineage: Eukaryota; Fungi; Ascomycota; Sordariomycetes; Xylariales; Diatrypaceae. RNAcentral also lists the same sequence under 1 other name.
AAGUCGUAACAAGGUCUCCGUUGGUGAACCAGCGGAGGGAUCAUUAAAGAGUAGUUUUUACAACAACUCCAAACCCAUGUGAACUUACCUAUGUUGCCUCGGCGGGGGAGCCUACCCUGUAGGAGCCCCGCCGAUGGACCAUUAAACUCUGUUUAUUUUGUAACUUCUGAGUGUUUAAACUUAAUAAGUUAAAACUUUCAACAACGGAUCUCUUGGUUCUG